UACAGAGGGUGCAAACGUUGCUCGGAAUUACUGGGCGUAAAGCGCGUGUAGGCUGCUUUUUAAGUCCGACGUGAAAACCCCGGGGCUCAACCCCGGAGUGCGUUGGAUACUGAGAAGCUGGAGUCCUGAAGAGGAGAGCGGAAUUCCCGGUGUAGAGGUGAAAUUCGUAGAUAUCGGGAGGAACACCUGUGGCGAAGGCGGCUCUCUGGGCAGGCACUGACGCUGAGACGCGAAAGCGUGGGGAGCAAACAGGAUUAGAUACCCCAGUAGU
Molecule: ribosomal RNA, 271 nt
Filed under: uncultured bacterium
Lineage: Bacteria
Description: partial 16S ribosomal RNA
Rfam family: Bacterial small subunit ribosomal RNA
Source: RNAcentral